This 406-nucleotide ribosomal RNA is filed under the name uncultured bacterium. RNAcentral's name for it is "partial 16S ribosomal RNA". It matches the Rfam family "Bacterial small subunit ribosomal RNA", at positions 29 to 526 of the family's 1533-position model. The record is from RNAcentral.
AUUGAACGCUGGCGGCAGGCCUAACACAUGCAAGUCGAACGAGUGGCGGACGGGUGAGUAAUGUCUGGGAAACUGCCUGAUGGAGGGGGAUAACUACUGGAAACGGUAGCUAAUACCGCAUACCAUCAGAUGUGCCCAGAUGGGAUUAGCUAGUUGGUGGGGUAACGGCUCACCAAGGCGACGAUCCCUAGCGGGUCUGAGAGGAUGACAGGCCACACUGGAACUGUGACAGGGUCCAGACUCCGACGGGAGGCAGCAUGGGGGAAUAUUGGACAAUGGGCGAAAGCCGUAUACAGCCAGGCCGCGGGGAGGAAGAAGGCCUUCGGGUUGUAAAGUACGUUCAGCGGGGAGGCGUUACCCGCAGAAGAAGCACCGGCUAACUCCGUGCCAGCAGCCGCGGUAAUUC